RNAcentral lists this ribosomal RNA (564 nucleotides) under uncultured bacterium. RNAcentral describes it as "bacterial SSU rRNA". It matches the Rfam family "Bacterial small subunit ribosomal RNA", at positions 338 to 912 of the family's 1533-position model. The record is from RNAcentral.
CCUACGGGAGGCAGCAGUGGGGAAUAUUGCACAAUGGGCGAAAGCCUGAUGCAGCGACGCCGCGUGAGGGAUGACGGCCUUCGGGUUGUAAACCUCCUUCAGCAGGGAAGAAGCGAAAGUGACGGUACCUGCAGAAGAAGCGCCGGCUAACUACGUGCCAGCAGCCGCGGUAAUACGUAGGGCGCAAGCGUUGUCCGGAAUUAUUGGGCGUAAAGAGCUCGUAGGCGGCUUGUCACGUCGGUUGUGAAAGCCCGGGGCUUAACCCCGGGUCUGCAGUCGAUACGGGCAGGCUAGAGUGUGGUAGGGGAGAUCGGAAUUCCUGGUGUAGCGGUGAAAUGCGCAGAUAUCAGGAGGAACACCGGUGGCGAAGGCGGAUCUCUGGGCCAUUACUGACGCUGAGGAGCGAAAGCGUGGGGAGCGAACAGGAUUAGAUACCCUGGUAGUCCACGCCGUAAACGGUGGGAACUAGGUGUUGGCGACAUUCCACGUCGUCGGUGCCGCAGCUAACGCAUUAAGUUCCCCGCCUGGGGAGUACGGCCGCAAGGCUAAAACUCAAAUGAAAUU